RNAcentral lists this transfer RNA (72 nucleotides) under Ovis aries (sheep). It matches the Rfam family "tRNA". Rfam says of the family: Transfer RNA (tRNA) molecules are approximately 80 nucleotides in length. Lineage: Eukaryota; Metazoa; Chordata; Mammalia; Artiodactyla; Bovidae. The record is from Rfam by way of RNAcentral.
UCCCAUGUAGCUUAGUUGGUAAAGAAUCUGCCUGAAAUGCUGGAGACCUGGGUUUGAUUCCUGGGUUGGGAA